UAGACUUCUCGGUCAAUUCCGAUAGAACUUUUGAUGAACGUUCGGAUUUUCGACAAACUCUCGAUCUCCAAACGAAGUCUCGUUUUGGACUCCGGGACUUCAUUUUACUUUAUGCCUUGAUCACUAUCAUAGUUAAUCAUACACAAAUAAAACCUACUUCGAUCUAGACAAUUAUUACAAAACUUGAAUCAUGUUGUCUGACAUGUCAUUGGUUCAUCGAUGCUUCGUCCGAUUCUUCGAUGCAUCGUCAUCUCUUAUGGCUUAUUGCCCAAUCGGCCAGUUGACCUAUGCAACUCCGAUUUCCUUAGUGUAAUUUCUACUCUUCUUGGCUCGAUACCUUCUGUGGAUAUGUCGAUCGAUCCUUCGGCUCGACGUCCAAUUUUCUGACAUGUUUCUCUCCGGCCCAACAUGAUUAUUCCUUCUUUAAUUGUCUCUCCCUGAUUGAAGCUAGUCCUGUAUCACUUAAACACACAUUAAAUCAUAAACACUAUCAAUUUAUUUCAUUAUCAAAAUAUAAGAUUCAACAAUCUCCCCCUUUUUGAUGAUGACAAUCAAUUGAUGAUGGAGUUAACUAACUCCUGAAGUUUAAACAAACUCCUCUUACCAAUAUGGCAUAUGUGAGAUGAACCUUGAAUUCAAAAUGAAUUCAAGUCAAAGAAAUAUUUCAUCAUGAAUAUUUGCAACAUGUGAUCAUAAAAUCAUGCAUAAUCAAAUUAUCUAAUACAUCAUUCCAUGCAUG
This 739-nucleotide long non-coding RNA is filed under the name Musa acuminata (dwarf banana). RNAcentral describes it as "long non-coding RNA (MACU_LNC000497)". Lineage: Eukaryota; Viridiplantae; Streptophyta; Magnoliopsida; Zingiberales; Musaceae. The record is from RNAcentral.